Molecule: ribosomal RNA, 431 nt
Filed under: uncultured bacterium
Lineage: Bacteria
Description: partial 16S ribosomal RNA
Rfam family: Bacterial small subunit ribosomal RNA
Source: RNAcentral
AACGAACGCUGGCGGCAGGCUUAACACAUGCAAGUCGAGCGCCCCGCCAGGGGUGCGGCCGACGGGUGAGUAACGCGUGGGAACGUACCUUUUGGUUCGGAACAACUCCGGGAAACUGGAGCUAAUACCGGAUAAGCCCUAACGGGGAAAGAUUUAUCGCCGAAAGAUCGGCCCGCGUCUGAUUAGCUAGUUGGUGAGGUAACGGCGCACCAAGGCGACGAUCAGUAGCUGGUCUGAGAGGAUGAUCAGCCACACUGGGACUGAGACACGGCCCAGACUCCUACGGGAGGCAGCAGUGGGGAAUAUUGGACAAUGGGCGCAAGCCUGAUCCAGCCAUGCCGCGUGAGUGAUGAAGGCCUUAGGGUUGUAAAGCUCUUUUGUCCGGGAAGAUAAUGACGGUACCGGAAGAAUAAGCCCCGGCUAACUUCGUG